AGACUGCGUUUGAAACUGUAUAUCUUGAGAGCAGCAGAGGAAGGCGGAAUUCCUGGUGUAGUGGUGAAAUACGUAGAUAUCAGGAAGAACACCAGUGGCGAAGGCGGUCUUCUGGGCUGCAUCUGACGCUCAUGUACGAAAGCUGGGGUAGCGAACGGGAUUAGAUACCCCGGUAGUCCCAGCUGUAAACGAUGGACACUAGGUGUUGGAGGUUCGAAUCCUUCAGUGCCGGAGUUAACGCAUUAAGUGUCCCGCCUGGGGAAUACGGUCGCAAGACUGAAACUCAAAGGAAUUGACGGGGGCCCGCACAAGCGGUGGAGCAUGUGGUUUAAUUCGAUGCAACGCGAAGAACCUUACCGAGAAUUGACAUCCCGUGACUACCUGUGAGAGCAGG
RNAcentral lists this ribosomal RNA (394 nucleotides) under uncultured bacterium. RNAcentral's name for it is "bacterial SSU rRNA". It matches the Rfam family "Bacterial small subunit ribosomal RNA", at positions 618 to 1011 of the family's 1533-position model. The record is from RNAcentral.